RNAcentral lists this ribosomal RNA (243 nucleotides) under uncultured bacterium. RNAcentral's name for it is "partial 16S ribosomal RNA". It matches the Rfam family "Bacterial small subunit ribosomal RNA", at positions 115 to 353 of the family's 1533-position model. The record is from RNAcentral.
ACGUGGGUAACCUGCCUUAUAGUGGGGGAUAGCCUUUCGAAAGGAAGAUUAAUACCGCAUAAGAUUGUAGUAUCGCAUGAUAUAGCAAUUAAAGGAGCAAUUCGCUAUAAGAUGGACCCGCGUCGCAUUAGCUAGUUGGUGAGGUAAUGGCUCACCAAGGCGACGAUGCGUAGCCGACCUGAGAGGGUGAUCGGCCACAUUGGGACUGAGACACGGCCCAGACUCCUACGGGAGGCAGCAUGA